AGUCACGUGGUCUAAUGGUUAUGAUAUCUCGUUCACAUUAGUUGAACUAAUUCCGAGAUGGUUCCCGGUUCGAUCCCGGGCGUGACUA
Aspergillus wentii DTO 134E9 is the source of this 88-nucleotide non-coding RNA. The record is from the annotation of a RefSeq genome assembly. NCBI's taxonomy places the organism in Eukaryota, Fungi, Ascomycota, Eurotiomycetes, Eurotiales, Aspergillaceae.